RNAcentral lists this ribosomal RNA (511 nucleotides) under uncultured bacterium. RNAcentral's name for it is "bacterial SSU rRNA". It matches the Rfam family "Bacterial small subunit ribosomal RNA", at positions 13 to 518 of the family's 1533-position model. The record is from RNAcentral.
CGUAUUCUGGCUCAGGAUGAACGCUAGCGGCAGGCUUAACACAUGCAAGUCGAGGGGCAUCGGGAGUAGCAAUACUUGCCGGCGACCGGCGCAAGGGUGCGUAACGCGUGAGCAACAUGCCCGUAUCAGGGGGAUAAUCCAUGGAAACGUGGUCUAAUACCCCAUAGUAAUUAUGUAAGGCAUCUUAUAUAAUUUAAAGCUUUGGUGGAUACGGAUUGGCUCGCGUGACAUUAGCUAGAUGGUAAGGUAACGGCUUACCAUGGCUACGAUGUCUAGGGGUUCUGAGAGGAAGGUCCCCCACACUGGAACUGAGACACGGUCCAGACUCCUACGGGAGGCAGCAGUGAGGAAUAUUGGACAAUGGAUGGAAAUCUGAUCCAGCCAUGCCGCGUGCAAGGAAGACGGCCCUAUGGGUUGUAAACUGCUUUUGUAUGGGAGCAAUAAGGGCUACGCGUAGUCCGAUGAGAGUACCAUACGAAUAAGCACCGGCUAACUCCGUGCCAGCCGCCGC